UAGAGUUUGAUCCUGGCUCAGGACGAACGCUGGCGGCGCGCCUAACACAUGCAAGUCGAACGAGAGAUGAGGAGCUUGCUCUUCAAAUCGAGUGGCGAACGGGUGAGUAACGCGUGAGGAACCUGCCUCAAAGAGGGGGACAACAGUUGGAAACGACUGCUAAUACCGCAUAAGCCCACAGCUCGGCAUCGAGCAGAGGGAAAAGGAGUGAUCCGCUUUGAGAUGGCCUCGCGUCCGAUUAGCUAGUUGGUGAGGUAAUGGCCCACCAAGGCGACGAUCGGUAGCCGGACUGAGAGGUUGAACGGCCACAUUGGGACUGAGACACGGCCCAGACUCCUACGGGAGGCAGCAGUGGGGAAUAUUGCACAACGGGGGAAACCCUGAUGCAGCGACGCCGCGUGGAGGAAGAAGGUCUUCGGAUUGUAAACUCCUGUUGUUGAGGAAGAUAAUGACGGUACUCAACAAGGAAGUGACGGCUAACUACGUGCCAGCAGCCGCGGUAAAACGUAGGUCACAAGCGUUGUCCGGAAUUACUGGGUGUAAAGGGAGCGCAGGCGGGAGAACAAGUUGGAAGUGAAAUCCAUGGGCUCAACCCAUGAACUGCUUUCAAAACUGUUUUUCUUGAGUAGUGCAGAGGUAGGCGGAAUUCCCGGUGUAGCGGUGGAAUGCGUAGAUAUCGGGAGGAACACCAGUGGCGAAGGCGGCCUACUGGGCACCAACUGACGCUGAGGCUCGAAAGUGUGGGUAGCAAACAGGAUUAGAUACCCUGGUAGUCCACGCCGUAAACGAUGAGUGCUAGGUGUCGGGGAGGAAUCCUCGGUGCCGCAGCCAACGCAAUAAGCACUCCACCUGGGGAGUACGACCGCAAGGUUGAAACUCAAAUGAAUUGACGG
This 893-nucleotide ribosomal RNA is filed under the name uncultured bacterium. RNAcentral describes it as "bacterial SSU rRNA". It matches the Rfam family "Bacterial small subunit ribosomal RNA", at positions 1 to 916 of the family's 1533-position model. The record is from RNAcentral.